RNAcentral lists this ribosomal RNA (254 nucleotides) under uncultured bacterium. RNAcentral describes it as "partial 16S ribosomal RNA". It matches the Rfam family "Bacterial small subunit ribosomal RNA", at positions 524 to 776 of the family's 1533-position model. The record is from RNAcentral.
CACGUAGGGUGCGAGCGUUUGUCCGGAAUUAUUGGCGUAAAGAGCUCGUAGGCGGUGUGUCGCGUCGGCCGUGAAACCUGCAGCUUAACUGUGGGCUUGCGGUCGAUACGGGCAUCACUGGAGUUCGGCAGGGGAGACUGGAAUUCCUGGUGUAGCGGUGAAAUGCGCAGAUAUCAGGAGGAACACCGGUGGCGAAGGCGGGUCUGCUGGGCCGAUACUGACGCUGAGGAGCGAAAGCGUGGGGAGCGAACAGG